UGCAUAUCAAUAAGCGGAGGAAAAGAAACCAACAGGGAUUGGCCUAGUAACGGCGAGUGAAGCGGCAACAGCUCAAAUUUGAAAUCUGGCUCUUUCAGAGUCCGAGUUGUAAUUUGCAGAGGGCGCUUUGGCUUUGGCAGCGGUCCAAGUUCCUUGGAACAGGACGUCACAGAGGGUGAGAAUCCCGUACGUGGUCGCUAGCUAUUGCCGUGUAAAGCCCCUUCGACGAGUCGAGUUGUUUGGGAAUGCAGCUCUAAAUGGGAGGUAAAUUUCUUCUAAAGCUAAAUAUUGGCCAGAGACCGAUAGCGCACAAGUAGAGUGAUCGAAAGAUGAAAAGCACUUUGGAAAGAGAGUCAAACAGCACGUGAAAUUGUUGAAAGGGAAGCGCUUGCAGCCAGACUUGCUUGCAGUUGCUCAUCCGGGCUUUUGCCCGGUGCACUCUUCUGUAGGCAGGCCAGCAUCAGUUUGGGCGGUGGGAUAAAGGUCUCUGACACGUUCCUUCCUUCGGGUUGGCCAUAUAGGGGAGACGACAUACCACCAGCCUGGACUGAGGUCCGCGCAUCUGCUAGGAUGCUGGCGUAAUGGCUGUAAGCGGCCCGUCUUGAACCACGGACCA
RNAcentral lists this ribosomal RNA (616 nucleotides) under Curvularia lunata. RNAcentral's name for it is "partial large subunit ribosomal RNA". It matches the Rfam family "Eukaryotic large subunit ribosomal RNA", at positions 37 to 668 of the family's 3401-position model. Lineage: Eukaryota; Fungi; Ascomycota; Dothideomycetes; Pleosporales; Pleosporaceae. The record is from RNAcentral.